RNAcentral lists this ribosomal RNA (116 nucleotides) under Heyndrickxia coagulans. RNAcentral describes it as "partial 16S ribosomal RNA". It matches the Rfam family "Bacterial small subunit ribosomal RNA", at positions 1 to 111 of the family's 1533-position model. The record is from RNAcentral. Lineage: Bacteria; Bacillati; Bacillota; Bacilli; Caryophanales; Bacillaceae.
UUUACUGAGAGUUUGAUCCUGGCUCAGGACGAACGCUGGCGGCGUGCCUAAUACAUGCAAGUCGUGCGGACUUUUUAAAAGCUUGCUUCUAAAAAGUUAGCGGCGGACGGGUGAGU